RNAcentral lists this ribosomal RNA (239 nucleotides) under Staphylococcus simulans. RNAcentral's name for it is "partial 23S ribosomal RNA". It matches the Rfam family "Bacterial large subunit ribosomal RNA", at positions 599 to 838 of the family's 2925-position model. Lineage: Bacteria; Bacillati; Bacillota; Bacilli; Caryophanales; Staphylococcaceae. The record is from RNAcentral.
GCGUGCCUUUUGUAGAAUGAACCGGCGAGUUACGAUCUGAUGCAAGGUUAAGCAGCAAAUGCGGAGCCGCAGCGAAAGCGAGUCUGAAUAGGGCGUUGAGUAUUUGGUCGUAGACCCGAAACCAGGUGAUCUACCCUUGGUCAGGUUGAAAUUCAGGUAACACUGAAUGGAGGACCGAACCGACUUACGUUGAAAAGUGAGCGGAUGAACUGAGGGUAGCGGAGAAAUUCCAAUCGAAC